GGAAAAAUGGUCGAGUGGUCUAAGGCGUAGCAUUGGAAAUGCUAUGUAGAUUUUUUCUACCGAGGGUUCGAAUCCCUCUUUUUCC
This 85-nucleotide transfer RNA is filed under the name Buxbaumia aphylla. RNAcentral describes it as "tRNA-Ser". It matches the Rfam family "tRNA". Rfam says of the family: Transfer RNA (tRNA) molecules are approximately 80 nucleotides in length. Lineage: Eukaryota; Viridiplantae; Streptophyta; Bryopsida; Buxbaumiales; Buxbaumiaceae. The record is from RNAcentral.